AAUGGGCGCAAGCCUGAUCCAGCCAUGCCGCGUGAGUGAUGAGGGCCCUAGGGUCGUAAAGCUCUUUCGCCUGUGAAGAUAAUGACGGUAGCAGGUAAAGAAACCCCGGCUAACUCCGUGCCAGCAGCCGCGGUAAUACGGAGGGGGUUAGCGUUGUUCGGAAUUACUGGGCGUAAAGCGCGCGUAGGCGGAUUAGUCAGUCAGAGGUGAAAUCCCAGGGCUCAACCCUGGAACUGCCUUUGAUACUGCUAGUCUUGAGUUCGAGAGAGGUAAGUGGAAUUCCGAGUGUAGAGGUGAAAUUCGUAGAUAUUCGGAGGAACACCAGUGGCGAAGGCGGCUUACUGGCUCGAUACUGACGCUGAGGUGCGAAAGUGUGGGGAGCUAACAGGAUU
This 392-nucleotide ribosomal RNA is filed under the name uncultured Gammaproteobacteria bacterium. Its description in RNAcentral is "bacterial SSU rRNA". It matches the Rfam family "Bacterial small subunit ribosomal RNA", at positions 370 to 779 of the family's 1533-position model. Lineage: Bacteria; Pseudomonadati; Pseudomonadota; Gammaproteobacteria. The record is from RNAcentral.